RNAcentral lists this ribosomal RNA (774 nucleotides) under uncultured Neocallimastigales. Its description in RNAcentral is "partial large subunit ribosomal RNA". It matches the Rfam family "Eukaryotic large subunit ribosomal RNA", at positions 23 to 640 of the family's 3401-position model. Lineage: Eukaryota; Fungi; Neocallimastigomycota; Neocallimastigomycetes; Neocallimastigales. The record is from RNAcentral.
GAGACUCUGUGCGCGUGCAUAUCAAUAAGCGGAGGAAAAGAAACUAACAAGGAUUCCCUUAGUAACGGCGAGUGAAGCGGGAAGAGCUCAAAUUUGAAAUCUUCAAGGUUUUACCUUGACGAAUUGUAGUUUAAAGAAGUGUUUUCUGUUGGAGUUUUGGUAAAAGUUCUUUGGAAUAGGACAUCAUAGAGGGUGAGAAUCCCGUAUUUGACCAUUAUUUCCAACUUUGUGAUACACUUUCAAAGAGUCGGAUUGUUUGGGAAUGCAGUCCAAAAUGGGUGGUAAAUUUCAUCUAAAGCUAAAUACUGGCGAGAGACCGAUAGCGAACAAGUACCGUGAGGGAAAGAUGAAAAGAACUUUGAAAAGAGAGUUAAACAGUACGUGAAAUUGUCAAAAGGGAAGCGUUUGACACCAGUGUUGUUUUUCCGAAAAUCAAUUACGAAUGUUUUGUUUUUGAGGAGUUAUGACUUCAUCGGCUUGCUCCUUUCUUUAUGAAACUUUCUUAAUGCACUUUUCGGUUAACAAGUCAACAUCAAUUUCUUUUGUUGUAAAAGGGUAUGAGGAAGGUGGCUUUCUUUUCGGAGAAAGUGUUUAUAGCCUUGUGCCUCUGCAAUCGGAGAGAUUGAGGUCUGCAGCGUAGAUCCUUCGGGGUUAGAUACGUUUGUGCUAAGUUAUAGCUUUUCAUAGACAACUUGUUGACUAUGUUUAGUCUUGUAGCUUACUCGCUGACGCUAUUUUACCUACGCUUAGGAUGUUGACAGCAGUAUAGACUGU